AUUGAACGCUGGCGGCAGGCCUAACACAUGCAAGUCGAGCGGAGCGGCGGUCGGGUGAGUGAUGACUAGGUAUCUGCCUGCUCGUGGGGGAUGAAGUCCGGAAGCGGACGCUAACUCCGACUACUCUCAGUCGAGCCUAGGUCUGAUUAGCUAGUUGGUGGGUUAAAGGCCAACCAAGGCGACGAUCCGUAACUGGUCUGAGAGGAUGAUCAGUCACACUGGAACUGAGACACGGUCCAGACUCCUACGGGAGGCAGCAGUGGGGAAUAUUGGACAAUGGGCGAAAGCCUGAGGCAGCCAUGCCGCGUGUGUGAAGAAGGUCUUCGGAUUGUAAAGCACUUUAAGUUGGGAGGCGUUACCAACAGAAUAAGCACCGGCUAACUUCGUGCCAGCAGCCGCGGUAAUAC
This 407-nucleotide ribosomal RNA is filed under the name uncultured bacterium. RNAcentral describes it as "partial 16S ribosomal RNA". It matches the Rfam family "Bacterial small subunit ribosomal RNA", at positions 30 to 526 of the family's 1533-position model. The record is from RNAcentral.